RNAcentral lists this ribosomal RNA (515 nucleotides) under uncultured Archaeospora. Its description in RNAcentral is "SSU rRNA". It matches the Rfam family "Eukaryotic small subunit ribosomal RNA", at positions 569 to 1085 of the family's 1831-position model. The record is from RNAcentral. Lineage: Eukaryota; Fungi; Glomeromycota; Glomeromycetes; Archaeosporales; Archaeosporaceae.
AGCAGCCGCGGUAAUUCCAGCUCCAAUAGCGUAUAUUAAAGUUGUUGCAGUUAAAAAGCUCGUAGUUGAAUUUUGGAUUCUUCCAAUUGGUCCAUCUUUUUAGAUGAGUACUGGUUGUGUGGGGUCUAUCCGCCUGGUGAUACGUAAUGUCCUUUAUUGGAUGUUGCGGGUAGUCAGGACCUUUACCUUGAAAAAAUUAGAGUGUUUAAAGCAGGCUUAUGCCGGAAUACAUUAGCAUGGAAUAAUAGAAUAGGACGAAGUUGUUUUAUUUUGUUGGUUUCUAGGACAACCGUAAUGAUUAAUAGGGAUAGUUGGGGGCAUUAGUAUUCAAUUGUCAGAGGUGAAAUUCUUGGAUUUAUUGAAGACUAACUACUGCGAAAGCAUUUGCCAAGGAUGUUUUCAUUAAUCAAGAACGAAAGUUAGGGGAUCGAAGACGAUCAGAUACCGUCGUAGUCUUAACCAUAAACUAUGCCGACUAGGGAUCGGGCGAUGUUGUUUCCAUGACUCGCUCGGCG